Mustela lutreola (European mink) is the source of this 13345-nucleotide long non-coding RNA. RefSeq lists it as uncharacterized. The record is from RefSeq and is a predicted model, not a curated record. The transcript is spliced from 2 exons. NCBI's taxonomy places the organism in Eukaryota, Metazoa, Chordata, Mammalia, Carnivora, Mustelidae.
AGUUGCCUUUACCAAGUACUCAUCUGUUUCUUCUUCCUUUCUCCUUUGAUAUUAAAUUACUUUGAUAGAUACCACUCUAAAUUUUAGAUGUUAUCUAUAAAAUAAUGUGAUAGAUAUGAAGAAGAAAGAGCAUUAGGAGGGAAAAUAAAUGUGGGUGAGUUUUGUUUGCUUAAGGCAUGAGGUUUUAUUUUUCCUAAAUACCCCCCACAGAAUAGGGUAGAGAGGUCGCCAUCUCCAGUUCUCAACAUGAAUAGCAGGCACAGCUUGCAGAAAGCUCUUUUUCUGUAGCUCUGCCCCAAUGAGAAGAUCCUGUACUGAUUCUGGGUUCAUCAAAACUAAAAAACCAGAGAAGCUAAAUCUGAAUGAGUAGAGAGCUGUGCCAGCCAUCUGAGAAAAAUUGAACCCUAACUGUUGCCCAGUAUCGCCUCGUCCCUACUGGAGCUAAUGCUUUGUUCUGAGCCAUUGUCUUCAGACUCAUAGGAGGUGUUACUACCUUUGCAACUCCUCGCCUUAACUUCUCCUUAACCUUGGCCUCUCAACCGCUAAAAAAAAAAAAUUACCAAGUCUACCGAAUUCCAUCAAGUAGCUUUUAGUAGUGGAUCUGCUUUUAGGUGAAUAUUAGCAUAUUGAGUAUUAGAAUAUUGCCAUAGCAUAAGCUAUUGAAGAAAUUCAUGAGCCACCACUGUAGAUAGACCAGUUGAGGAUAUAGCUCUGAUUUGUGCCCAAGACUUAAUUUCUAAAGUUGGCUGGGUGACAAUGCAGAGAAGUCCAUGCUGUUGGAAGAAAAAUUUAUUGUUACUCGUAUUUCUACUAGAAAUGAGAGGCAUGCACUCAGGGCCACAUGGGGAAGAACCAGAGCCAGAAAGCAAAAGCAGGAGUGAGGGUGAGAGCCUUUAUUGUGUUUAGUGGGAAAUACCAGGCAGGGCAGUGGAAAUAGCUUGGGAUUGUCUAGUUUGGAUGGUGGUGGUGGGUUCUGGGCUAUAAGGGCAGGUUCUAUUUCUCUGGUAUUGAGCUCUGGUUGAUUAAGACCAACGACUCUUUUCUCCUGGACUGUAAGAGCCAAACAAAGGAGGUGGCUCAGAGUGUGGGCUCUGGAUUGAUUGGUUCUCAUAUGAAAGGUAUGGACCCUUCCUUAUGGACCCUUUGCUGCCUCUGACUGGUCAGCCUGUACGGGGCAGUCUUACCAAUUGGUGAGGCCCUCAAAGAUAUCAAAACAUCAUAAGCCUUUUUUUAACACAUGAUUAAUAUGAUUGUCCUCUGAUGUUUUAGCAACAUAUUAAGGAAACUUUGGAGUGAUGAUAAUGGAGACAUUAAAGAGUAAGUCAUACAUUACCUUGAACAGCACAGAAAGCAUUUGUUUGUUUGUUUGUUUUUUAAUGUGGCAUUAGUCACCAUAGAGUACUUCAUUCGUUUUUGAUGUAGUGUUCCAUGAUUCACUAUUUGUGUUAUAACACCCAGUGCUCAUUGCAUCAGGUGCUCUCCGUAAUACCCAUCACUGAGCUAACCCAUUCCCCUACGCUUCUCUCCUCUGAAACCCUCAGAUUGUUUCCUGAAGUCCAUAGUCUCUCAUAGUUUGUCUUCUGCUCUGAUUUUUCCCCACUUCAGUUUUCCCUUUCUUCCCCUAAUGUCCUCCAAAGUGUUUUAUUAUGAUAGUUCAAAGGAGCAGCAUGGGGGGGGGGGGCGGUGCAAGGAGUCCUUAAGGCCGGUCCAUAACUAAGGUUUCCAUUUAUAUACAUUAGCCAAGAUCAUAGAUCUGGAGUCUUGUGCGGGGGGUGGAGUGUGGGGGGGAAGUCUUCAAUGCUGUCUUAGCAGAGUUGUAAAGUAUGAGUGUGAUAAUAAUAUCUUGAUCUAUUUCUCGAGUCCAGACAGCAGGUCCAACAGUUAUGCUCUUGGAGUAUAUAAUUUAGUAAAUACAUUAACAAUUAAGUGGUAAGUGCUUGUAACCAAGGGAAAGGAGUGUUACGAUUUGAGACACAAGGUAGGAGGUGCUGGUGGAAAGUUGGAGAGGGCAGCAGGAGAAGGCAAUGGAGAGUGAGUGAGCAGUCCUCUCCCAGAGACUUGAGGGGUUGACUGAGAGAAGGCAAAGUGCUUCCUGAAGGAAGUAAUAAUCAACAUUCAGUUUUUGAAUAGUACAGAUAGUAAUCUCCAGAUUUCUCUCUGGAAAUCUUUUAAGCAUUUUUUUAAGCAUGGGAGUGUAGGGGUCUGGUUUGGGCAGAGAGCAAGGAAUAUACCAUGGUAAUGUGCUAAACAGGCAGCAAGCUCAGAAAUGAAAUAGAAUCCCUAAUUUUGGAGGAAGAGAAGCAAAAAUGCCCUGUAUCCAAUUUGUGGCUUAACAAAGGCAGGCUAUGGGCGUAAGUUCUAGUGUCCAAAGCAGAGUUGUCUCCAGUUAGCAAGCUCAUGGGCUGGGAAAUGUCAUCUGAACAGUGAGCUUCUGGGCCAGAGUGAUGUUGUCUGGGGUGUGGGACUUGGGGUAUUCAUUUUAAGUGGGUACCCAUUCAGGUUGAUGUGGGUCUCAAUGUUUGCUAUGUUUGCUUGAAACAGUGGUUUACUUGAGGUGUUUGCAAACAAAUGAAAGCAACCAGACCAGCAGUAAUAAGACCAACAGUCAGUAGAAGAGUGAAUAGCUACACCUGGCAGAGUUUUUGUUUUUGGUUUUUGGUUCAGGUUCACUUGGGUCCCUUAUCAGUUGAGCAGCUGCCUGACCUAUGGGAAUAUCUGUGAUUAAUGGGUCCCAAGAAAGUACGUGCUCUCAGUCUGGCCUUUAGCACCUGUGGGAUGGGGGCAAGAUAGAAAAAUUUAUAGAGAAUGAGAAAUCUUGUUAAACAGACUAACAUGUAAUGAGUUUCUAAUAUGCACGAAGGCAACACAUAUCCCCCUUUAAUUUUUUUAAUUUAAAUUUGAGGUAGUUAACAUACAGUACAAUACUGGUUUUUGGAGUAGAAUCCAGUGAUUCACCACUUACAUACAAUACCCAGUGCUCAUCACAACAAUUGCCCUCCUCAAUACCCAUCACCCACUUAGCCCAUCCCCCACCCACCUCCCUCUAUCACCCCUCAGUUUGUUCUUUAUCAUUAAGAGUUUUUUUUUUUUAAGGUUAUUUAUUUAUUUGACAGAGAUCACAAGUAGGCAGAGAGAGAGGGGGAAGCAGGCUCCCUGCUGAGCAGAGAGCCCUAUGCGGGACUCGAUCCCAGGACCCUGAGAUCAUGACCUGAGCCGAAGGCAGCGGCUUAACCCACUGAGCCACCCAGGCACCCAGGGUAACUCUAUUUUUAACAUUUUGAGAAACCUCCAUACUGUUCUCCAGAGUGGCUGCACCAGUAUGCAUUCCCACCAACAGAGCAUGAUGGUUCCCUUUCUCUGUAUCCUCAUCAACACCUAUUGUUUCUUAUGUUGUUAAUUUUAGCCAUCCUGACAGGUUGAGAUGCUAUCUCUUUGUGGUUUUUAUUUGUAUUUCCCUGAGGAUAAGUGAUGUUGAACAUCUUUUCAUGUUUCUGUUAGCUGUCUGAGCACAUACUCCCCUUUAAGUAGAGGAGAGUACAAUUAGAGCAUUUUUUUCCAGCUUUAUUAAAAACAGAUAAAUAUAAUUACAUACAUUCAAAGUGUACAACAUGAUGAUUUGAUAUAUAUGUACAUUGAGAUAAUUAACACAUCUGUCACUUCACAUAGUGUGUGUAUGAUGAGAAUGCUUAAGAUCUACUUACUUUCAGUCACUUUCAAGAACACAAUACUAUAUAAUUAACUAGUCUCUGUGCUAUAUAUUAAAUCCUAGGAACUUUUAUAACUGAAAGUUUGUACCCUUUGACCUACAUCCUCCCAUUUCCCUCUCUCCCCAGUCCCUAGCAAACACCAUUCCAUUCCUUAUAUCUAUCAAAUCAGGUUUUUUUUAAAAUUCCAUAUAUAAUGAUACCAUACAGUAUUUGUCUUUCUUUGUCUGACUUCUUUUACUUAGCAUAAUUCAUCCCUGUUGUCACAAAUGACAAGAUUUCCUUAAGACAGAAUAAUACUCCAUUGUGUGUGUGUGUGUGUAUGUAUCAGAUUUUCUUUAUCCAUUCAUCCAUUUAGGUUGUUUCCAUAUUUUGGCUGUUGCAAAUAUGCUACAGUGAACAUGGGAGGGCAGACAUUUCUUCGAAAUAUGAAUUUUAUUCCUUAUGUGAGUUCAUUUAAUUUCCUGUAUGGUUUACAAAUAUUUUUCCCUAUUCUAUAGGUUGUUUUUUCAAUUUAUUAAUUAUUUUCUUUGCUGUAUGGAAGCACUUUAGUUUGAUGUGGUCCUACUUGUUUAUUUUAGCUUUCCUUGCCUGUGCUUUGGGCAUCUUAUCCAAAAAGACAUCAUUCCUUCUCUUCAUUUUCUUCUUUGAGAUUUAUGUUUUCAGAUCUUGCAUUUAAGUCUUUAAUCCAUUUUGAGUCAGUUUUCAUGGGUAUAAGAUAGCUAUCCAGUUUCGUUCUUUCGUAUGUGGAUAUCCAGUUUUCCCAACCUCAUUUAUUGAAGAGGUUAUCUUUUUCUCAUUUUGUAUGUUUUCUUGGCACCCUUGUCAAGGUUAUGUGUCCAUCUCUGCAUGGGUUUAUUUUGGUGCUGUUUGUUCUAUUCUACUAGUCUACAUGACUGUUUAUGCCAGUGUGACACUAUUUUAAUUAUUGUAACUUUAUAAUGUUUGAAAUCAUAAAUAUAAUGCUACCAACUUUAUACAUCUUUCUCAAGAUUUCUUUGGCUAUUGGGGUAUUUUGUGCUUCCAUAUGAAUUUUGGGAUUCUUUUUUCUAUCUCUAGAAAUACCAUUGGAAUUUUGAUAGGGACCACAUUGAAUCUGUAGAUCAUUUUGGGUAGUAUGCACAUUGUUACAAUACCUAUUCUUCAAAUGUAAGAACAUAAGAUACCUUUCCAUUUAUUUGUGUCUUCCAUUUCUUUCCUCAGUGUCUCAUAGUUUUCAAUGUACAAGUCUUUCCUUUCCUGGGAUAAAUUUAUUUCGAUGUAUUUUAUUUUUGAUAAAAUUAUAAAUGGGAUUUUUUAAAAAUUUCUCUUUCUGAUAGUUUGCUGUUAGUGUAUAGAAAUGCAACUGAUUUUGUAUCCUGGGACUUUACUGAAUUCAUUGAUUAGUUCUAUGAGGUUUUUGGUAGGACAUUUGGGGUUUUCUAUUUAUGAGAUAAUUUUACUUUUUCCUGUCCAGUUUGAAUGCCUUUUAUUUCUGUUUCUUGCUCAAUUGAUGUGGCUAGGAUUUUCAGUAUUGUCUUUAAUAAAAGUGGCAAAAGUAGGCAUCCUUGUCUUGCUCAUGAUCUUAGAGGAAAGGCUUUUAACUUUUCACUUUUAAGUGUGUUGUUAGCUGUGGGCUUGUCAUACAUAGCCUUUAUGAUGUUGAGAAACAUUCAUUCUACAUAUAAUUUGUUGAGAGUUUUUAUUAUGAAAAGAUGUUGAAUACUUUUCCUGAAUUAUUGAAAACAUCACAUACAUUUGAUCUUUCAUUCUGUUAAUGUGGGUAUCACAUUGGUUGAUUUGUAUAUGUUGAACCUUCCCUGCAUCCCAGGGACAAACCCCUCUUGAUCCUGAUGAAAAUAACUUAAAUCAUGGGUAAAUCUUUUCCACGUGCUCCUGAAUUUGGUUUAAUAGUAUUGAGGAUUUUGUGAAUCUAUCUUCAUCAGAUAUAUUGGUCUGUAAUUUUCUUUUAAAGUGUCCUUACCUGGUUUUGUGUCAGAGUAAUAAUGCCCUUGUAAAGUAAGUUUGGAAAUGUUCCCUUUUCUUCCAUUUUUCAGAUAGUUUGAGAAGAAUUGGUAUUAUUUAAAUGAUUGAUAGAAUUUGCAAGUGGAUCAUGACCUGAGCUGAAAUCACGAAUCGUAUGCUUAACCAGCUGGGAGAGAGAAUCUCAAGGAGACUCCCUGCUGAGCCUGGAGCCUGUUGUGGGGCUCAGUGUCACAACAUUGAGAUCAUGACCUGAGCCAAAAUCAACAGUCAGACGAUUAACUGACCGAACCACCUAGUUGCCUCAUCUUUGUCUUUCAGUUUUGAGACUUUCCUUAUCAUGUGUCUCAGUGAAGAUCUCUCUAAGUUGAAUCUGUUUGAGGACCUUUGAGCUUCAUAUACCUGGAUGCUCCCUCUCUCACAGUUUUGGAAGCUUUCUUCCAUUAUUUCUUUAAAUGAUUUUCUGUCUCUUUAUCUCUUCUCCUUUUGUGGUAUUCAUAAUAUGAACAUUUAAAAAAAUUUUACUUAUUUGAGAGAGUGAGUGAGAGAGAGGGCAUGAACUGUGUGGGGGAGAAGCAGUGGGUGAGGGAGAAGCAGACUUUCUGCUGAGCAGAGAUCCUGAUGCAAGGCUUGACCCCAGAACCCAGAGAUAAUGACCUGAGUGAAAGGCAGAUGCUUAACUGACUGAGCCACCUACGUUCCCCAGUGUGAACAUUUUUUGCUUACUGGUGUCUCAUAACUCACAUAGGUUUCCUCUAAUUUUUUCUUGCCUCUGAUUGGGUAAUAUCAAUGCUCUGUCUUUAAGUUCAGAGAUUCUUUUUUCAAAUUGUUCAGCUUGCUAUUGGAGCUCUCUGUUGCAUUUUUCAUUUAAUAUACUGUAUCCUUCACAUCUAGAAUUUUUGUGUGGUUCUUUUUUUUUAUGGUUUCUGAUUUUUUGUUGAAGUAUUUGUUUCAUUCAUGCAUUAUUUUCCUGAAUUCAUUGAUUUGUUUUCCUGAUUUUCACUGAGAUUCCUUAAAAUAAUUAUUUUGAAUUCUUUUUCAAGUUACUCACAGAAUUCCAGUUCUUUGGGGUCAGUUGCCAGAAAGUUUUUGUGUUCUUUUUGACAUGUCGUGUGUACUUGUUUUUUGAGUGUGUUUCUAGUGGGUUUAUAUUGGUAUCUGAGCAUUUGAGGGAGAAUCUACUUCCUCCAGCCUUUUUAGACUAGCUUUGGUGGGGAAAGACUUUUACCUGAAUGUGGGCUGUGAGGGCACUAGCUGAGUAGGGUAUAUUUCUGUUCUGGGAAGAGGACUGUGGCGUAGUCUUCAUGUGGGUCUGUUAGAUGAGAUCAGUGUCAGUAAAAGCUGUGGGGCUCUUUGGUGGCCCAAACUGUGGAGGGCUUGCUGGUGUCAGUUGUGGCUAGGGCUACUGCAAUCCUUGGUGGUAAAGGCUGCUGAGGUUGUCCUGUUCUCCUUUGUUGCCCAUGGAAGGAAGUUCUAGUUGAAAGCAUCCCUUCUGGCACCAAGUCAGCACAAUGAUCAUCCUUGAAGCUGUGUCCAGAGCUGGGUUGCGUGCACAGCCACCAUCGUGCCUAGGUCCUGAGGCGAAGGAGCACAUGCUACAGUUGGGACAACCACAUCUGAGGUUCUGGCAUUUGCAGCUCUCCCAUGGAUCCAGGAUCUGGGUCUUGGCUUGUGCAUGACUUGAGCCCCAGGUGCAUGGUAUGCAGUAGUGGCACAGAGCCUAGGAUGAGAGAGUACAGCAGUGGCCUGGGCCCAGGGGAAGGGGAUAGUGUCAGUACACCCUGGGGAGAAUGUGAAAGUUCCAACUCUGACCCCAGGGGGCAGAGGGCACAGUAACAGCAGCCUCGCCCCAGUUAUGUUGGAUCGAAUCUCCAGCUCAGGAACCAGAGAGAGAACACAGAACUGUAGUGGUGUGGCCUGGGACUUGGACUUGGGUCAGCACCUGGACUUGGGACUUGGGGGCAGGGCACAGAGCAGUAGUAGCAACAGCACAGCUCCUGCAUUGGAGAACCAAUGCCCUAACUUAGGACAUGGGAGGUGAGUCAGAGGGUAGUGCAGCAGCAUUCCAGGGUCAUGGCAGGCCGAAGCUGUGACUUGGGGUCCAGCAGCAGCAGCUCGGCCUGUGAUGGCAGGUCAAGCUGUGACAUGGGGACGAGGUGUAGAGCAGUGGCAGCUCUACCCCAGUAACCGUGGGUCAGAACCCUGACUUGGACUGCUGCAAGAACACAACUGUGUGCUGGUGGGUCAAAGCCAUGACUUAGGAGCCUGGGGGCAGCUCUCACCACAGGGGCUGCUCCAGCCCCAGGAAGGAGACCCUGUGUGACUCUGAGCAGCUCCGUCCACUAGACUCAGCAUUGGUGAAGAUUGUUGGGGUCCUCAGUAGAAAGGCUAUAAAUGUCCACUGCUGGAGGCCCCUGCUCUCCUUUGCCUGUGGGGUGCAGUACCUCUGAGGGAUCCCUCCUGGUGCUGAGCAACUCUGGACUGGGGGUCGGGAUAGUGCAGGUAAAAAUGAUUCUCACACUUUUCCAUGUGGCCGUCCUUUGGUUUUGAGCUCUGCAAGGUUUUUUGUUGCUGCUUUUUUAUAGUCUAGAGCUUUCCCAGAGCUGUUUUCAUUGGUGUGUAGUUAUUUCUUUGUUGCCUUUGUUGUUUUUGUGGGAGAGAUGAGCAUUGGGACCACCUAUCCCAACAACUUGCCAGAUACUUUGGGGGGAGUUUUUUAAAGGUUGAUUGAGGGGUGAAUCAGCCACGAUGUCCUGAAUUAAGAGACAUUAAGUUCCGGGGCAUGAUUGGGCCUCUUGAGGGUCUGUUUGCUAGACUCGAAUUUGAAAAGGAACUGAGGAGAUCAUUAUUUUUCAAUUAAACCGGUUAUCUGGAACCUAGCAGGGACAUGAAAGUUCUAUUGAACACCUUUUCCAAAAGCCCAACAUUGCAUAUUCUGAGAAGUGGCGUGUGUGUCUUGAUUCCUAUUCAUAAUGCCUGUAACCUCCAGCGGAGUAAGGAGUGUCCUGGCAAGGACUUCUGUUGUGUGCCUAGUAUAUGUGUGAAUUUUGUUUGUAUUGUAGAUAUCUGUGAGAGACAAGAUUCCCAGAGAUUUUUAUCCUGACAAGGACAACCCUUAGGCAGUAGCAACAGGUGUGAUAUGGUCACUGAGCGGAGCAUCUAGUGCUAAGAUGACUGCCUAAAGUUUAGCCAAUUGUGCCUACACUUGGGGUCCUAUCUUUUAGUUAGAGGGACAUCCUGGUUAGGAAAUAGAAAGUUGCUAGGUUCCUCUGAGUUCUCCAUCAUUUUUAUAAAAGUGGGCAAUGCCAUUUAUAUGGUUUAUGAACGUUCACUGCUGUUCACUAAGUUAAUCCUAAGGGCUCCUCAGGUAGUCAAGGGUCUGGGGAGGGUGACCUCCUCCAGCCCAGUUGCAUCUGGCAAGGGAUUGAGGACAGGGGACAGCCCCCACCUGUAGGUGGCCUGUAUGUAUUCCUGUAGAAUGGAGCCUGAGUUUGGCUUCAUUCUAAAUCAAGGAGGACUCACUACUCAUGCGGGCCUUGGGGGGUGCUACUUUCAUGACCUGGGGGCAUCUGGAUCCAGAGAUACAGCCCAAUGUCUUUGAGAACCUCUGUUUGCAGGAGAAUCUGGCAUGUGGCCAGUCAUUUUUUGUUUCAAUGGAACAUAGCCUGAGGCUGAAAGGGUCAGUUUCUUUCAUCUAAAGCCUUUAGGCCACUUAACAGUCACAUCAGGGUCCAGAGAUGCCAGGUGACCGGAGAAGAGGUUGCCCAGAUCUGUUGAGUGAGGGAGUCUCUGAGGGCAGUGCCUAUUGAUGUUAACUUGGUCAGAUUUCAGAAGUUUUUUCCGAGGGAGCCCCAUUUAAGGGGGCUGAUUUGUAAGUAGCAGCAUCAAUGAGAUUAAGCACAAUUUGUAAAUGAGGACUCCAUGGUCAUCAGAACCCAAAAAGUACUGAAAGAUGUUAGGCCUGUAUGUUUUUGGCGAGUAUGUCAGAUGACUCGCAAGGUCCUUGUGAUGCCAUGCCUGUGCUCCUGGAGAGGAUGAGUGGAGAAAACAUCUUGCCUACAAAGUUGUUGUGGUACCCCACAGGGAGCCUGGAGAAGGUGGCUAUGUCCCUCCAAGGUGAAGGUGAAGUGUGCUUGAGAGACCGUUGCAUUAGGCACUGAGUAGAGUGUACUAGCUGAACGUCUAAGAGCGAGAUAUUUACCAGUUACUGAUUCAAUAGAAUUAGUGAUUUUAAGAAUAUUGAAUAUUGGGUAUCAGGGACCUAAUGUAUGGGACCACAGCAGUAGGAUGGCAGUAAUCCACCAUGAAGGACCUUUAUGUUCCCUGGGUUUAAGAACAGGCAAAUUUGGGCUAUAAAAGUGGAGAAGCAACUGUGAUAAUCACCCCUUUGUGAAUUAGGUUUUGUAGAAUAAAUUUUAAUUCUUGAAGAGCCUUAUUACAUUGGGCCAGGUAAACUAUUUAAAGGGUGUGGGGGAAGAUCAUGGAGUCCCAUUUUUAUCAAUCUAAUUUGUAAGUGACAAAGACUUACAUUACUUUUAAUUUAUUAUUCAUUGUGUUAGAGUGUCUAUACAGGUGGUAUUUUAGGGGAGUUGGUACUGUCACUACAGGAAAUUGAGACAAAACUACAGUUAUGGUGAGGCAGACCUAUAUUUUUUUCUGUUUCCUAUUCAGUUACUUUUUUUCAGAUUAUAAGAGCUGUAGUGUCUAAACUUAGUAGAAUCCUCAGGUGUAAUUCCCCCUGCCGUAUUGAUUAAGUCCAAGAAGUUUUGUCAUUGAGGCACUUUAGCAAAAUGUUCAAGUUAAUUUAGAACCUACAUCUAAGGUUGUAGAGGCACAAAAACCAAUGAGCACUUUUUAAAUUUUCUGGUUAUAGAAAUCUUCUGGUAUAUAAAUCUUAUAUUUGCUCCAUACAUAACUAUGCUGCAUAAUUUGUUACGUAAAAUUUUGUUAUAUCAUCUGCUGUUGCAUCCAAGAGAGUGGUGCUGGCAGUAUCCUGAGUUUGUGACCAUGUAGAUUUAAGGAGGAGGCACGUAUCCUGUUGAUAGGCAGCAGCACUUAUGAGUGCCCAGAUGUACUGGCCAGGACAUUUGCCAUCUUGGAUGAGUUGAGAAUCUUCCUCAGGUCCUAGGGGAAGCAGGAACAGACUACUUCUCUGCCCUUGUCCUUUUUCUUCUUCUCCUUCUUCUUCUUAUUCUUUUUUUUUUUGAGAUGGAAUCUCCUUUGAACAUUGAGCUACCAGUCUCCUUGGAAAGGAUUCUUUAAAUUGCAAAUCACAAUGACAGAAAUGUAAGUGACAACAACAAAGAGAUCUACCCUCGAAGUAACUUUUCUUUUUUAGAGAGACAGAGAAAGAGCAUGAGUGGGGGCGGAGGGAGAGAGAGAAUCUUAAGCAGUCUCCACACCUAGUGACCCAAUGUGGGGCUUGAUCUCACAAUCCCAAUAUCAUGACUUGAGCUGAAACCAAGAGUCAGAUGCUUAACCAACUGAACCACCCAGGUGCCCCUUGAAGCAACUUGUUAAGCCUUAUGGGGACCGUGGUUUCCAUGAAGAGGGCACUCAGACUCAUGUCACCAAUAGAUUGCUAUAGUGUACUGGCGACUAACACUUGGACUUUUGCCAGCGACACUUUCUAAAAGGGAGAUAGUCUGGAAGAAGUUGGCAUCAGUGUGAUGGGAUCAGUUGAGAAGGGAGUUAACAGUUGAGCAGCCCCGACUGACUUUGCCAUUGCUGGCAUAGACAAUCGGCUCACAUCCCAGUACAGUCUGUUGGAGGAAGUCACUCAAUGCUCCUGGUUGGGAAAAGCCUCUGCCCUGGGUGUUGGGCAGUUAUCCUAGUCCCUGAGGGGUCCUCAGUCUAGAAACAAGGCAUAUCAGGGCAGGGAAUCAUGUGGGAGCUAUGAGUCCAGUUAUUUAUCCCACAAGGUGCCAAGUAGAGAAUGUGGGUUACCAUCAGCUUAGGCCACAGCACUUGAGAGUGAAUGAGGACCAUGGACAUGCACGCAUUGAGGUCCUCCUCCAAGUUAGGCUGGAACGCCAUGUCAGCAGAUGGUAGCUGACAGGGGACACAUGUGCCAGCACCUGGCGGUAUAGACUACUUAGUGAGUCUGUUUAGUAGAUCAGGAGCAGUAAAGAGGAGGUCCCUCUGUCAAAGCCAGUCACCCUUCUUGCUCUACCAGUUGCAAUAAACUCUACCUACAGGAUUUUAAUUUAUGGAGAUGACUGAGUGACAACAUGGAAAAGCUAAUGCUAUGCCACAAAAGGCCACAGGGAGAUGCCAGAGCCACUCAGGAGGCAGCAGUAGGAAUGCUGGGAAAGUAUGGGGGAGAGCCUUUAGUGUUUUUGCAGGAAAUGCCAAGCAGGGCAAAGGAACAUCUUAGGAUAGGCUAAUUUGGGUAAUGUCAGGGGCUCUUGGCUAUAAGACUGACUCUUGGCUGAUUGACCUCCAGUGGUGUGGUGCUGAUGCUGGGUGAUCAGGACACGAGGACUUUUGCCUCCUGGCAUGCAAAAACCAGAUAGAGGAAGCAGCUGAGAGUGGGGGCUCUGGUUUGGUUGGUUUUCAUACAGAAGAUAUGCACUGUUUCUAAGACUUGGCCAGACCAGGAGGAGCAGUCUCUCCGUAGUCAGGGAGGCCCCAAUGUUGCCAAAAUGUCACAAAUAUUUCAAAAAAUAUGAUUAAAGGAGCUCAUUCUAGCAUUCUGGCUAUAGCCUCUGUAAUAGAGUCAUACUUUCCAAUGAGUAAGUAUCUCUCUGCAGAAGUUGGACCCUAGACCCAUGAGCACAGGCCUCUGGGUGUGUGCAGAGCUCAGGAGCAGAACCGCUGUUGUCGUCUUGCAGCAGGGGAACAGCUCCCCAGAGCAGGGAGGCUCCUUGGCAUCAGACAGCCCCUGGGUAGAGUGCGAUCCUAGGUCUCAACGGAAUCCACUGAGGGAGUCUAAGUCAUGAGGCUGAGUUGGCAGAUGUGGCCCUUAGGACAAAAUGGCGUUUGCAACAUGGAUUGUCUCUAACCUUUUACUUUGAGGGAUCAUUUGAAAUAUCGCACUGGGGCCUUUGUCAUUUACCGUAGUCUUUUAACUUGAAUGGUUUGGUCAAGUUUUGUAUGCUAGCAGUUUGAUCAGUGACCGGCUCAUCUUACCUCUCAUACUACUCAUCUCCUACCCCCCAACCCAUACACAGUUUUCCACCGAACGCUAGAAAAAAUAAUUGUUAAUAGGUUGGAAAGCUCUAUUUGUAUAUUGUUCUUUGCUAGUGGAGGGUGGUGUCAAUAACAUCUUUUAUAGCUGUGAAAUUAUUUUACCAGUUAAAAAUUUGAUGUGUAUUUUUUCUUCUUAAUUAGAAGAGCAGGUUUGAACCAAUAAGUUGCUGUAGAUAAACUUAAAAAUUAUGGCUUUUAUCUGUUUAGAGAUAAAUAAUGUGUUAUCACAUUCAUGUAAUGUAGAUUAUUCUUUGGGACUUUAAUUUUUUAAACUUAAGUCAGGGUUAAAGAUGUAGUAACAAUAUUUGGCAUUUCCUGUUGCUUAAGUGAGGCCAGUCUUAAAUGUUACGAUAUUUACUUCAUGUAUUCUUGUACUGUUGAUUUUCAUUCGUUGGAAUUCUAGAUCUAAGAUGUGAUAUUUGGACUAAAUAAAACUUACAGUGUUGUAAGUGCUCUUUAAUAAAUAAUUACACCCAAGUAAUAGGGUA